GUGGGGAAUUUUGGACAAUGGGCGCAAGCCUGAUCCAGCAAUGCCGCGUGCAGGAUGAAGGCCUUCGGGUUGUAAACUGCUUUUGUACGGAACGAAAAGCCCUGGGUUAAUACCCUGGGGUCAUGACGGUACCGUAAGAAUAAGCACCGGCUAACUACGUGCCAGCAGCCGCGGUAAUACGUAGGGUGCGAGCGUUAAUCGGAAUUACUGGGCGUAAAGCGUGCGCAGGCGGUUUUGUAAGACAGAGGUGACAUCCCCGGGCUCAACCUGGGAACUGCCUUUGUGACUGCAAGGCUAGAGUACGGCAGAGGGGGAUGGAAUUCCGCGUGUAGCAGUGAAAUGCGUAGAUAUGCGGAGGAACACCGAUGGCGAAGGCAAUCCCCUGGGCCUGUACUGACGCUCAUGCACGAAAGCGUGGGGAGCAAACAGGAUUAGAUACCCCAGUAGUCC
RNAcentral lists this ribosomal RNA (450 nucleotides) under uncultured bacterium. RNAcentral's name for it is "partial 16S ribosomal RNA". It matches the Rfam family "Bacterial small subunit ribosomal RNA", at positions 354 to 796 of the family's 1533-position model. The record is from RNAcentral.